This 190-nucleotide ribosomal RNA is filed under the name uncultured bacterium. RNAcentral's name for it is "partial 16S ribosomal RNA". It matches the Rfam family "Bacterial small subunit ribosomal RNA", at positions 1311 to 1500 of the family's 1533-position model. The record is from RNAcentral.
UUCGCCUACAUGAAGCUGGAAUUGCUAGUAAUGGCAGGUCAGCAUACUGCCGUGAAUACGUUCCCGGGCCUUGUACACACCGCCCGUCACACCAUGAGAGUUGGCAACACCCGAAGUCGGUAGUCUAACCGCAAGGAGGACGCCGCCGAAGGUGGGGUUGAUGAUUAGGGUUAAGUCGUAACAAGGUAGC